RNAcentral lists this ribosomal RNA (619 nucleotides) under Dolichospermum flos-aquae AUS-JR/MT/NT-126. Its description in RNAcentral is "bacterial SSU rRNA". It matches the Rfam family "Bacterial small subunit ribosomal RNA", at positions 147 to 796 of the family's 1533-position model. Lineage: Bacteria; Bacillati; Cyanobacteriota; Cyanophyceae; Nostocales; Aphanizomenonaceae. The record is from RNAcentral.
CCACUGGAACGGUGGCUAAUACCGGAUGUGCCGGAAGGUGAAAGGCUUGCUGCCUGAAGAUGAGCUCGCGUCCGAUUAGCUAGUAGGUGGGGUAAGAGCCUACCUAGGCGACGAUCGGUAGCUGGUCUGAGAGGAUGACCAGCCACACUGGGACUGAGACACGGCCCAGACUCCUACGGGAGGCAGCAGUGGGGAAUUUUCCGCAAUGGGCGAAAGCCUGACGGAGCAAUACCGCGUGAGGGAGGAAGGCUCUUGGGUUGUAAACCUCUUUUCUCAGGGAAGAACACAAUGACGGUACCUGAGGAAUCAGCAUCGGCUAACUCCGUGCCAGCAGCCGCGGUAAUACGGAGGAUGCAAGCGUUAUCCGGAAUGAUUGGGCGUAAAGCGUCCGCAGGUGGCUGUGUAAGUCUGCUGUCAAAGAGCAAAGCUCAACUUUGUAAAGGCAGUGGAAACUACACGGCUAGAGUGCGUUCGGGGCAGAGGGAAUUCCUGGUGUAGCGGUGAAAUGCGUAGAGAUCAGGAAGAACACCGGUGGCGAAGGCGCUCUGCUAGGCCGCAACUGACACUGAGGGACGAAAGCUAGGGGAGCGAAAGGGAUUAGAUACCCCUGGUAGUCACC